UCAAUAACGUUGAACAGAAGAGUAGGUCACCAAAGUCUCAACAGAAAGCCCGGUCGAUGGAAACGGGUGUCCUUGGUUAACCGAAACACAUCUGUGAGUUGGUCGUCUGAAUCUAGUAGGACGACCCGGGGUAGCCCGUUAUCGCUGGAGUUGCUAGCAACUCGCUGAGGUUAGACCAGUGAUGGUUUAACAAACAGAGGUGGAACCACGAUGUGAUCGUCCUCUUA
Molecule: non-coding RNA, 227 nt
Filed under: Levilactobacillus paucivorans
Lineage: Bacteria; Bacillati; Bacillota; Bacilli; Lactobacillales; Lactobacillaceae
Description: Lactobacillus paucivorans T-box sequence
Rfam family: T-box leader
About the family: Uncharged tRNA acts as the effector for transcription antitermination of genes in the T-box leader family.
Source: RNAcentral